This 503-nucleotide ribosomal RNA is filed under the name uncultured bacterium. RNAcentral's name for it is "bacterial SSU rRNA". It matches the Rfam family "Bacterial small subunit ribosomal RNA", at positions 28 to 524 of the family's 1533-position model. The record is from RNAcentral.
GACGAACGCUGGCGGCGUGGAUUAGGCAUGCAAGUCGAACGGUAUCAUCCUUUCGGGGGUGAGAGAGUGGCGAACUGGUGAGUAACACGUAGGUUAUCUACCCUCAAGACGGGGACAACCCAGGGAAACUUGGGCUAAUACCGGAUGUGAGCAACUUUUAGUUGUUUGAAAGGUGGCGUAAGCUGUCGCUUGGGGAUGAGCCUGCGUCCUAUUAGUUAGUUGGUGAGGUAACGGCUCACCUAGGCAAUGAUAGGUAGGCGGCCUUAACGGGUGGUCGCCCACACUGGGAUUGAGAUACGGCCCAGACUCCUACGGGAGGCAGCAGUCGAGAAUAGUCUACAAUGGUCGGAAGACUGAUAGUGCGACGCCGCGUGAACGAUGAAUCCCUUCGGGGUGUAAAGUUCUUUUAUAUGUGAGCAGUGCUUCUUAUAUUAACAGUAUGGGGAAGAGAUAUUAGCAUAUGAAUAAGCAACGGCUAACUCCGUGCCAGCGGCCGCGGUAAG